GCUUACGGCCACACCGCCUGGUUCAUGCCCGAUCUCAUUUGAUCUCGGAAGCUAAGAUAGGUUGGGCCUGGUUAGUACUUGGAUGGGAGACCGCCUGGGAAUACCAGGUGCUGUAAGGC
This 119-nucleotide ribosomal RNA is filed under the name Scophthalmus maximus (turbot). The record is from RNAcentral. Lineage: Eukaryota; Metazoa; Chordata; Actinopteri; Pleuronectiformes; Scophthalmidae.